This 69-nucleotide transfer RNA is filed under the name Leptotrombidium deliense. RNAcentral describes it as "tRNA-Ala for anticodon UGC". It matches the Rfam family "tRNA". From Rfam's summary of the family: Transfer RNA (tRNA) molecules are approximately 80 nucleotides in length. Their secondary structure includes four short double-helical elements and three loops (D, anti-codon, and T loops). Lineage: Eukaryota; Metazoa; Arthropoda; Arachnida; Trombidiformes; Trombiculidae. The record is from Rfam by way of RNAcentral.
GGAGAUAUGGCUCAGCGGUAGAGCACUUGCCUUGCAAGCAUGAGGCCCUGGGUUCCAUUCCCAGCACCA